Molecule: ribosomal RNA, 253 nt
Filed under: uncultured bacterium
Lineage: Bacteria
Description: partial 16S ribosomal RNA
Rfam family: Bacterial small subunit ribosomal RNA
Source: RNAcentral
AACGUAGGACACGAGCGUUAUCCGGAGUUACUGGGCGUAAAGGGCGGGUAGGUGGUGCGAUAAGACUGGUGUGAAAGCCUUCGGCUUAACCGAGGGAGGACACUGGUGACUGUCGGACUUGAGGCAGAUAGAGGGGUGUAGAAUUCCGGGUGUAGUGGUGAAAUGCGUAGAGAUCCGGAGGAAUACCAGAGGCGAAGGCGGCACCCUGGGUCUGACCUGACACUGAUCCGCGACAGCAUGGGGAGCGAACAGG